GAAAUAUCCCCAGAAUGGGGUUUUACCUCUGAGGCUACAAAGGUGAUUGUUGUUGGAUCUUUUCUGUGUGACCCAUCAGAAUCUGCAUGGACAUGCAUGUUUGGUGAUACUGAGGUUCCCAUUGAAAUCAUUCAAGAAGGUGUUCUCCGCUGUGAAGCUCCUCCCCAUCUUCCAGGAAAGGUCACUUUCUGUAUUACUUCUGGCAAUCGGGAGUCUUGCAGUGAGGUCAGAGAAUUUGAGUAUCGAACUGAGAGUAGCUGUCCUCAUUGCAGCUUAUCCCAAAUGGAAGUUGCUAAGAGUCCAGAAGAGUUGUUGUUACUUGUC
RNAcentral lists this unclassified non-coding RNA (324 nucleotides) under Hevea brasiliensis (rubber tree). Lineage: Eukaryota; Viridiplantae; Streptophyta; Magnoliopsida; Malpighiales; Euphorbiaceae. The record is from RNAcentral.